Molecule: long non-coding RNA, 580 nt
Filed under: Rattus norvegicus (Norway rat)
Lineage: Eukaryota; Metazoa; Chordata; Mammalia; Rodentia; Muridae
Description: long non-coding RNA NONRATT032666
Source: RNAcentral
CAUGGAGCUCUGAAAGGGACUUUGUGAUGAUGUGGUUAUCAUGACACCAGCAAGAGUCCUGCUUCUUGUGCACAUAUUAUCAUUCUGGGAAUCUUGUUACCCUAGUUACCCCAGAAUGUUUCCUUCUGACUGCAUUCUUUCUAUCUGUAAGUAACUCUUUUACUCAACAGGGAACAAGGGGCCAGAUGGCAUGCAGACAUGUGCUUAAGGCUGGGGGCCUUGUUGGCAGAGGAAGUAUGGCUGCUGAAGCCAUUCCAUUCUGCCAGGUGAGUAUCCUUGAAGCAACUCAUUCAGAUAACCAAGCCAGAAGACUGUUGACUGUGUGGAGUGGAAGAUGUUGGUAGGGGCCCAGGUGUGUGCUGCUUUCAGAGGUUAUUUACAUGGAAGUGAACGCAGUAGAAGAAUGAAUUUAUUUGGAAAAUCUGGUGGAUUCAGGUGGAGAAACUGAGCAGACUUUGGCUUUGCAUUAGCACUGUGCACAAGAGCUGGUGGUGAGGACAUCUCUUGUAACAUUUUUAUGCCUCUUUAUAUAUAAGAAUAAAUUUAUGGAGAACUUUUUCCAUGCUUCUUAAAAAAGCAU